CGGACGGGUGAGUAACGCGUGGGUAACCUACCCUGUACACACGGAUAGCAUACCGAAAGGUAUGCUAAUACGGGAUAAUAUAUUUGAGAGGCAUCUCUUGAAUAUCAAAGGUGAGCCAGUACAGGAUGGACCCGCGUCUGAUUAGCUAGUUGGUAAGGUAACGGCUUACCAAGGCGACGAUCAGUAGCCGACCUGAGAGGGUGAUCGGCCACAUUGGAACUGAGACACGGUCCAA
Molecule: ribosomal RNA, 235 nt
Filed under: uncultured bacterium
Lineage: Bacteria
Description: partial 16S ribosomal RNA
Rfam family: Bacterial small subunit ribosomal RNA
Source: RNAcentral